RNAcentral lists this non-coding RNA (32 nucleotides) under Mus musculus (house mouse). Lineage: Eukaryota; Metazoa; Chordata; Mammalia; Rodentia; Muridae. The record is from RNAcentral.
UACACUACAGAUUCCCAGGAUGCCAUAGCUUU